GACGAACGCUGGCGGCGUGCCUAAUACAUGCAAGUAGAACGCACAGUUUAUACCGUAGCUUGCUACACCAUAGACUGUGAGUUGCGAACGGGUGAGUAACGCGUAGGUAACCUGCCUGGUAGCGGGGGAUAACUAUUGGAAACGAUAGCUAAUACCGCAUAAUAUUAAUUAUUGCAUGAUAAUUAAUUGAAAGGUGCAAUUGCACCACUACCAGAUGGACCUGCGUUGUAUUAGCUAGUAGGUGAGGUAACGGCUCACCUAGGCGACGAUACAUAGCCGACCUGAGAGGGUGAUCGGCCACACUGGGACUGAGACACGGCCCAGACUCCUACGGGAGGCAGCAGUAGGGAAUCUUCGGCAAUGGACGAAAGUCUGACCGAGCAACGCCGCGUGAGUGAAGAAGGUUUUCGGAUCGUAAAGCUCUGUUGUAAGAGAAGAACGGGUGUGAGAGUGGAAAGUUCACACUGUGGCGGUAUCUUACCAGAAAGGGACGGCUAACUACGUG
This 505-nucleotide ribosomal RNA is filed under the name uncultured bacterium. RNAcentral describes it as "partial 16S ribosomal RNA". It matches the Rfam family "Bacterial small subunit ribosomal RNA", at positions 28 to 507 of the family's 1533-position model. The record is from RNAcentral.